This 664-nucleotide ribosomal RNA is filed under the name uncultured Actinomycetes bacterium. RNAcentral describes it as "bacterial SSU rRNA". It matches the Rfam family "Bacterial small subunit ribosomal RNA", at positions 66 to 747 of the family's 1533-position model. Lineage: Bacteria; Bacillati; Actinomycetota; Actinomycetes. The record is from RNAcentral.
ACGGUAAGGCCCUUCGGGGUACACGAGUGGCGAACGGGUGAGUAACACGUGGGUGAUCUGCCCUGCACUUCGGGAUAAGCCUGGGAAACUGGGUCUAAUACCGGAUAUGACUACAGGCUUCAUGGUUUGUGGUGGAAAGCUUUUGCGGUGUGGGAUGGGCCCGCGGCCUAUCAGCUUGUUGGUGGGGUAAUGGCCUACCAAGGCGACGACGGGUAGCCGGCCUGAGAGGGUGUCCGGCCACACUGGGACUGAGAUACGGCCCAGACUCCUACGGGAGGCAGCAGUGGGGAAUAUUGCACAAUGGGCGCAAGCCUGAUGCAGCGACGCCGCGUGGGGGAUGACGGCCUUCGGGUUGUAAACCUCUUUCAGCUCUGACGAAGCGCAAGUGACGGUAGGAGCAGAAGAAGGACCGGCCAACUACGUGCCAGCAGCCGCGGUAAUACGUAGGGUCCGAGCGUUGUCCGGAAUUACUGGGCGUAAAGAGCUCGUAGGUGGUUUGUCGCGUUGUUCGUGAAAUCUCACAACUCAAUUGUGAGCGUGCGGGCGAUACGGGCAGACUGGAGUACUGCAGGGGAGACUGGAAUUCCUGGUGUAGCGGUGGAAUGCGCAGAUAUCAGGAGGAACACCGGUGGCGAAGGCGGGUCUCUGGGCAGUAACUGACGCU